UACAGAGGGUGCGAGCGUUAAUCGGAAUUACUGGGCGUAAAGCGUGCGCAGGCGGUUAUGUAAGACAGAUGUGAAAUCCCCGGGCUCAACCUGGGAACUGCAUUUGUGACUGCAUAGCUAGAGUACGGUAGAGGGGGAUGGAAUUCCGCGUGUAGCAGUGAAAUGCGUAGAUAUGCGGAGGAACACCGAUGGCGAAGGCAAUCCCCUGGACCUGUACUGACGCUCAUGCACGAAAGCGUGGGGAGCAAACAGG
This 253-nucleotide ribosomal RNA is filed under the name uncultured bacterium. Its description in RNAcentral is "partial 16S ribosomal RNA". It matches the Rfam family "Bacterial small subunit ribosomal RNA", at positions 524 to 776 of the family's 1533-position model. The record is from RNAcentral.